GCCGGGUGUGGUGGCGGGCACCUGUAGUCCCAGCUACUUGGGAGGCUGAGACAGGAGAAUUGCUUGAAUCCAGGAGGCAGAGGUUGCAGUGAGCCGAGAUUGCGCCACUGCACUCCAGCCUGGGUGACACAGCGAGACUCUGUCUCAA
This is an unclassified non-coding RNA of Macaca fascicularis (crab-eating macaque), 148 nucleotides long. It matches the Rfam family "Metazoan signal recognition particle RNA". Rfam says of the family: The signal recognition particle (SRP) is a universally conserved ribonucleoprotein. It is involved in the co-translational targeting of proteins to membranes. Lineage: Eukaryota; Metazoa; Chordata; Mammalia; Primates; Cercopithecidae. The record is from Ensembl.